AUGCCGCGUGAGUGAUGAAGGCCUUAGGGUCGUAAAGCUCUUUCGCCAGGGAUGAUAAUGACAGUACCUGGUAAAGAAACCCCGGCUAACUCCGUGCCAGCAGCCGCGGUAAUACGGAGGGGGUUAGCGUUGUUCGGAAUUACUGGGCGUAAAGCGCACGUAGGCGGAUUGGAAAGUUGGGGGUGAAAUCCCAGGGCUCAACCCUGGAACUGCCUCCAAAACUCCUAGUCUUGAGUUCGAGAGAGGUGAGUGGAAUUCCGAGUGUAGAGGUGAAAUUCGUAGAUAUUCGGAGGAACACCAGUGGCGAAGGCGGCUCACUGGCUCGAUACUGACGCUGAGGUGCGAAAGUGUGGGGAGCAAACAGGAUUAGAUACCCUGGUAGUCCACACCGUAAACGAUGAAUGCCAGUCGUCGGGUAGCAUGCUAUUCGGUGACACACCUAACGGAUUAAGCAUUCCGCCUGGGGAGUACGGUCGC
Molecule: ribosomal RNA, 477 nt
Filed under: Roseovarius litoreus
Lineage: Bacteria; Pseudomonadati; Pseudomonadota; Alphaproteobacteria; Rhodobacterales; Roseobacteraceae
Description: bacterial SSU rRNA
Rfam family: Bacterial small subunit ribosomal RNA
Source: RNAcentral